UAUUCUUGCAGGCGGCUUUCCUGGAGGAAUGCCUGGCAGUUUUCCUGGAGGAAUGUCUGGAAUGGCAGGAGGCAUGCCUGGAAUGGCAGGAAUGCCUGGACUCAAUGAAAUUCUUAGUGAUCCAGAGGUUCUUGCUGCCAUGCAGGAUCCAGAAGUUAUGGUGGCCUUCCAGGAUGUGGCCCAGAACCCAGCAAAUAUGUCAAAAUACCAGAGCAACCCAAAGGUUAUGAAUCUCAUCAGUAAACUGUCAGCCAAGUUUGGAGGUCAGGCAUAAUGCCCUUCUCUAAAAAGCCCUUGCUGAAGGAAAAGCAACCUAGAUCACCUAAUGGAUGUCGCAAUAAUACAAACCAGUGUACCUCUGACCUCAUCAAGAGAGCUGGGGUGCGCUAAAGAUAAUCCCUCCUCCCUCUGUCCCCAAUGCAGCUGAAGCAUUUUACAGUGGUUUGCCAUUAGGGUAUUUAUUCAGAUAAUGUUUUCCUACUAGGAAUUACAAACACUUUGUAAACCUUAAAAAUAUUUAAAACAAAUUAAAAUGGUAUGUUAAUUCCUACUUUUUCUUUACUAAUCAUUUUGGAUUUUUUCCUUUGAAUUAUUGGGCAAGGAAGAUACUUAAGUAUGGAAGGUUAUUGCUCUAGUUUGAGUGAAAUAAGUUUAUUAGUAGAGCAAAUACAACUAAUUUAAAUGGGUAAAGUUUGAGUUGGAUAUAUGGUUCCAGAGACAUUUUGACUUCUCUUUUUAAAUGCUUUAUUUUUUAAAAAAAGAUUUAUUUCAGUAAAACAAAUUGGGACCACCAGUAUUCAGUAGGACCUGGGUAGGGACUGGAAGUACUUGGCAGGGUGCAGCACCAAUCUUGCUAUGUUUUAUAUAAUAACACGCACCCUUGUGCAGGUUGCAUUUAAAUCUUACACACUGUGCUGAAGGGGUGGUUUUUUGUAAUGCUGCAGUAGAGUUGGAUUACUUAGCUCUGUUCUUGUCCAAUAUAUCAAAUGUCUCAUAUUAUUUCCAUGUAGAGGAAAUAAAGGAGUACUUUUCUUUUUAUAUUUUUAUGUGUAAAAUUAUCUAUCCUGGUCAAAAAAAUGCCCAACUCGAUGUUUGCUUUCUGCUUGUUUGUUACAUUUUUCUCUCUUACUCUUCUUGGGCUUAAAGAUGUUCUUUUUUCACAAGCAUCAUUACUGCUAUCAUUCACAGCAUAUUUGUGUAAGCGUGUUUAAUGCUGACUUUAAUAUAUAAUACAUAUGGUAACUGUCAGGUAAUGCCCAUAGCAGGGGUAGGUUCUUAACUUGACCAUGAAAAUCCUUUUUUUAAAUGUUAGAUUUCCACUCUGGUAAAAUCUUGACAUAUCAAAAAACACUGAAAGGAGGGAAUUCCCUUUGGUGUUUGGUCUUCUACUUAGGAAAUACCUGUUGCAAUUAGAAUUUCUUGUAUUCGUCUUUGUAUUUUGAAGAAAAUAAGAUUUGAAUUAAAUUGAUAUUCAUGGAGGAGAAACAGACUUCUUGAUUAAGCAUGCAUUAAUAAAAAUAAAUGAGGUAUCCAGUCAUUCAUUAUAUGGAGUUGUUAGAACUACGAAAGAUUCCAUGUCUUCCUACUCAGCUUCUCCUUAAAUAGUGCGACCAUAAACCCACCUCUGUUUUUUUUCCCUCCUCUCCAACUAUAAAGAAAAUGUUAAAUUUUCUGUUGUGCAUUCAAAUGACGCUGUUAGGCAUUACCUGACACUGAUAGGUUUCUACAAUGUUUCAAGGAAGUGCUAGUGUAUGAAAGCAAUUUCAAGUAUGAGACCUUGUGUACUUUGUUUAAUUUGAAGAAUCAGUGAUAGAAUCUAUGAAGUACCUUCCUAAAAUAGCACAUUUCUAAAAUCAAAUAAUCUUAUUCAGGUUCUAACCCUUUGCUAGCCACAAGUAGACAGAAAUGCAUCUGUUAUAUAAAUGAGAGAAAGUUGUAUGCUGAUGGAGCGAGCUUUUUAAAUCCUUUAAAAACAUUCACCACAUAAACUUGCAUUUGAGCUCACGUGUUCUUUUUGUUAAUGUGUGUUCUCCUUUCUCAAAAUUUCCAUUGUGUGCUGGGCUUAACUCAAAAAUAAUUUCUUCUGGAUUCCUUAUUUGAUUUACUUGACUAUGCAUUACCUAAUUAUAUUUAACAUUGGAAAAUUACCAUAAAUUGGUAAAACUAAAAUUGUUCUGAAAAUGUGUCCUGUGCUUUUAGACUUUUAAGUUCCACAAAUGCAAAAUACAUUCUUAAUUUUCAUAGGAGCUCAAUAUUACUUCUAAACCGGAAAUAUUCUUAUGCUAAUGAUGCUGUGAGAUGGAAAACAAUUUUUCUGCUAAAAACAUAUAGUUAUUGGAUAUUUCUAGCUAUGUUAAAAAUAAAAUAUGGUUUCAAACUGGA
Molecule: long non-coding RNA, 2382 nt
Organism: Carlito syrichta (Philippine tarsier)
Lineage: Eukaryota; Metazoa; Chordata; Mammalia; Primates; Tarsiidae
Exons: 2
Source: RefSeq, a predicted model, not a curated record